AGAGUUUGAUCCUGGCUCAGAACGAACGCUGGCGGCGUGGAUAAGACAUGCAAGUCGAACGCUGAUUAGAGGGUAGCAAUAUUCUCUAGUCGGAGUGGCGCAAGGGUGCGUAACACGUGGGCAAUCUGCCGUGAAGACAGGGAUAACUCGCUGAAAGGCGAGCUAAUACCCGAUGAGACUGUCAGGAGGCAUCUUCUGACAUUGAAAGCUGGGGACCCGCAAGGGCCUGGCGCUUUACGAUGAGCCCGCGGCCUAUCAGCUAGUUGGUGAGGUAACGGCUCACCAAGGCUAAGACGGGUAGCUGGUCUGAGAGGACGACCAGCCACACUGGAACUGAGACACGGUCCAGACACCUACGGGUGGCAGCAGUCGAGAAUUUUUCACAAUGGGCGCAAGCCUGAUGGAGCGACGCCGCGUGGGGGAUGAAGGGUUUCGAUCCGUAAACCCCUGUCAUUUGCGAACAAACCUUAUUCAAUAACACUGAAUGAGCUGAUUGUAGCGGAAGAGGAAGGGACGGCUAACUCUGUGCCAGCAGCCGCGGUAAUACAGAGGUCCCAAGCGUUGUUCGGAUUCACUGGGCGUAAAGGGUGCGUAGGUGGCCGGGUAAGUUCGAUGUGAAAGCUCGGAGCUCAACUCCGAAAUGGCAUUGAAUACUAUCC
Molecule: ribosomal RNA, 659 nt
Filed under: uncultured bacterium
Lineage: Bacteria
Description: bacterial SSU rRNA
Rfam family: Bacterial small subunit ribosomal RNA
Source: RNAcentral